UAUUAUUAAUUUUUCUCUUUGUAGGGCAGUAAGUAAGAAAUAUCUCAUAUCACAGGUGAUUGUUGGCCGACACGAAGCCGAGGUCAACAAACAUGUGAUCUGAGGCUUUCUUAUUUACUGCCUAUGGUGUGUAUACUACUUUUCUCCUGGACGGAGGCGGAAAGCGGCAACUUCGUUUAGCGCAGCGGGGCUAAAGUUGACGCUUUACGCCCGGAAGGGAGAAAAAGUAAAUAAUACAAAUUCGUAUCGAAAGGAAAUAAAUUUUUGAACUUUAAGGAUGAUAAAUGAUGAAAAUUUUGUCAAUAACCACGAAAUUGGAACACCGAAAAGACGGAUGUGGAGGAUAAAAGUACCAAAUUCAGUAAUGGGAGAAAAAGCUUAGAUGCCUCGUUAAUCGGUGAUAAAAUAUCUAAAGAAUCAUCAGGAAAUAUUCAUAAAAUGUGGCAACCAAUGCUGUGUGUCCAAAAUGAAAUAGCUACUAAAUCUGUCAAGGAGAACUUGGAUAUAAUCGAGAAUAAUUUAGACGAAGUAAA
Molecule: long non-coding RNA, 533 nt
Organism: Cotesia glomerata
Lineage: Eukaryota; Metazoa; Arthropoda; Insecta; Hymenoptera; Braconidae
Exons: 2
Source: RefSeq, a predicted model, not a curated record